AUCGCUUCUCGGCCUUUUGGCUAAGAUCAAGUGUAGUAUCUGUUCUUAUCAGUUUAUAUCUGAUACGUCCCCUAUCUGGGGACCAUAUAUUUAAAUGGAUUUUUGGAACAGGGAGAUGGAAGAAGAGCUUGCUCUGUCCACUCCACGCAUCGACCUGGUAUUGCAGUACCUCCAGGACCGGUGCACCUCUC
Molecule: small nuclear RNA, 191 nt
Filed under: Xenopus tropicalis (tropical clawed frog)
Lineage: Eukaryota; Metazoa; Chordata; Amphibia; Anura; Pipidae
Description: U2 spliceosomal RNA (ENSXETG00000048765.1)
Rfam family: U2 spliceosomal RNA
About the family: U2 is a small nuclear RNA (snRNA) component of the spliceosome (involved in pre-mRNA splicing). Complementary binding between U2 snRNA (in an area lying towards the 5' end but 3' to hairpin I) and the branchpoint sequence (BPS) of the intron results the bulging out of an unpaired adenosine, on the BPS, which initiates a nucleophilic attack at the intronic 5' splice site, thus starting the first of two transesterification reactions that mediate splicing.
Source: Rfam by way of RNAcentral